RNAcentral lists this ribosomal RNA (429 nucleotides) under Borreliella garinii. RNAcentral's name for it is "bacterial SSU rRNA". It matches the Rfam family "Bacterial small subunit ribosomal RNA", at positions 43 to 477 of the family's 1533-position model. The record is from RNAcentral. Lineage: Bacteria; Pseudomonadati; Spirochaetota; Spirochaetia; Spirochaetales; Borreliaceae.
UGCGUCUUAAGCAUGCAAGUCAAACGGGAUGUAGCAAUACAUCUAGUGGCGAACGGGUGAGUAACGCGUGGAUGAUCUACCUACGAGAUGGGGAUAACUAUUAGAAAUAGUAGCUAAUACCGAAUAAAGUCAAUUAAUUUGUUAAUUGAUGAAAGGAAGCCUUUAAAGCUUCGCUUGUAGAUGAGUCUGCGUCUUAUUAGCUAGUUGGUAGGGUAAAUGCCUACCAAGGCGAUGAUAAGUAACCGGCCUGAGAGGGUGAACGGUCACACUGGAACUGAGAUACGGUCCAGACUCCUACGGGAGGCAGCAGCUAAGAAUCUUCCGCAAUGGGCGAAAGCCUGACGGAGCGACACUGCGUGAAUGAAGAAGGUCGAAAGAUUGUAAAAUUCUUUUAUAAAUGAGGAAUAAGCUUUGUAGGAAAUGACAAAG